RNAcentral lists this small nuclear RNA (120 nucleotides) under Fukomys damarensis (Damara mole-rat). Its description in RNAcentral is "U4 spliceosomal RNA". It matches the Rfam family "U4 spliceosomal RNA". From Rfam's summary of the family: U4 small nuclear RNA (U4 snRNA) is a component of the major U2-dependent spliceosome. The structure of U4 snRNA from yeast and human has been reported. The record is from Rfam by way of RNAcentral. Lineage: Eukaryota; Metazoa; Chordata; Mammalia; Rodentia; Bathyergidae.
GGCUUUGCGCAGUGGCAGUAUCGUAGCCAAUGAGGUUUAUCCGCGGCGUGAUUAUUUCUAAGUGAAAACUCUGUAGUACUCUAUGUAUUCUUAUUUUCAUUCUUACCACUGUAGCUUACA